Molecule: ribosomal RNA, 466 nt
Filed under: uncultured bacterium
Lineage: Bacteria
Description: partial 16S ribosomal RNA
Rfam family: Bacterial small subunit ribosomal RNA
Source: RNAcentral
GACGAACGCUGGCGGCGUGCUUAACACAUGCGAGUCGAACGGAAAGGCCCUGCUUUUGUGGGGUGCUCGAGUGGCGAACGGGUGAGUAACACGUGAGUAACCUGCCCUUGACUUUGGGAUAACUUCAGGAAACUGGGGCUAAUACCGGAUAGGAGCUCCUGCUGCAUGGUGGGGGUUGGAAAGUUUCGGCGGUUGGGGAUGGACUCGCGGCUUAUCAGCUUGUUGGUGGGGUAGUGGCUUACCAAGGCUUUGACGGGUAGCCGGCCUGAGAGGGUGACCGGCCACAUUGGGACUGAGAUACGGCCCAGACUCCUACGGGAGGCAGCAGGGGGGAAUAUUGCACAAUGGGCGGAAGCCUGAUGCAGCAACGCCGCGUGCGGGAUGACGGCCUUCGGGUUGUAAACCGCUUUCGCCUGUGACGAAGCGUGAGUGACGGUAAUGGGUAAAGAAGCACCGGCUAACUACG